This is an RNA transcript of Neoarius graeffei (lesser salmon catfish), 7681 nucleotides long. It is a transcript of the gene named dnaJ homolog subfamily B member 1-like, with no coding region annotated. The transcript has 3 exons. Lineage: Eukaryota; Metazoa; Chordata; Actinopteri; Siluriformes; Ariidae. The record is from RefSeq and is a predicted model, not a curated record.
UAAUUUAUUUGUGGAUCAAGUAUGAUCGUAAAUCCCAGAUCAUAUUGGGCUGGUAAAUUCUGACUAGGCCCAAUGACAGCAGUCUAAUUAUACCAAGUUGGUAAAUUUCAGAGAAUAACUAAAUUAUUAUAAUCAUGAGGAGUCUUACUUAAACAAAUCAAUAUUCAUCAAGAUAAAGUGUAAAUAAUUCAAAUAUGAACAUGAACAUCUCAUAUUAGGCUGGUAUAUUCAGACUAGGCCCAAUUAUACCAAGUUGGUAAAUUUAUACUGUGGUAAAUUCAGACCGUGACACCGGUGACCCAUGAGCUCCGCAUCAGCCUGGAGGAGGUGUUCAGUGGUUGCACCAAGAAAAUGAAAAUCUCCCGGCACAAACUGAACCCAGAUGGCCGCAGCACACGCGCAGAGGAAAAGAUCCUCAUGGUGGAGGUGAAGGAGGGAACCAAGAUUACUUUCCCUAAAGAGGGCGACCAGACACCAAAUAACGUCCCUGCUGACAUCGUAUUCAUUGUGAAGGACAAACCGCAUCCGGUGUUUAAGAGGGACGGAUCAGACAUCAUCUAUCCAGCCAAAAUCUCACUCAAAGAGUUGGGUGGAGCCUGUAGUGCAUAUGACCUAAGUUAAAAAGGCUCUCUGUGGUUGUACAGUAAAGGCCCCUACGUUGGACAAACGCACCGUGUCCCUACCGCUUCAGGACGUCAUCAUCCGCCCUGGGAUGAAGCAGCGCAUCACAGGUGAAGGCCUUCCUUUGCCGAAGAGCUCUGAUCGCCGUGGCUAUUUAAUCGUUGAGUUUGAGGUGAAAUUUCCAGAGAGAUUGAGUCGGGACGCCAAGGACACUGUUGCACGGGUUUUACCCUCGUAAUGUUUGCACAGGACAACGUUGUGUCCACCGACUAAAACCUGUGCCGCAUGAAACUCUGAACUCAGUAACUCUGAACUGCAAUCUGCUGAGUCUCUCUGGAUGACCAAUCUUUCUUUUCUGCACUUUCCUCUUUUCCUAAACUGAAAAGACUGUUUGUUUUUCGUAAAUGAACUUGUUUUGAAAUUCUCUUUUAAAUGUACAGUGAGUAAAACUGCAUGUACUCCUGGAGGUUAUUCCACAGACUGAGUGAGCCUGAGGAGCUGGGCUUAUUUCAACAGCCCCAGCUAGUUUCUCUCAAGUUCAUGUCCAUAACAUUCACUCAGUUACUGUGGCAGCGUGUGCUUUUGGAUAAGGCUGCUCAGGCGAACGUUUAGGCGAGUUUGAUGAAUGAUGACGUUGCCUUGAAUUUUGGUAUUUUUAACGAAACCGAUGAUUUGAUUAGCAUAUUCUGUUGGCUGUUUUCUACCAGGCAGCUUCUGGAACAUCCUUGAUCAUGUCUUGUGGAGUUUAAUAAACAAUCCUUGCUGUAUGGGGUGAAAAGCAGUGUUUCCCACAGAAAUUUUGGAGACUAUGGGGGCAGCCCAUGGGGGGGGAGGCAGCGUGGCGUGCAUGUCCAGUUGAACUGCAGGGGUGCGCAGGGGGGUUGUUUAGCGCGUGGCGUGCGUGUCCGGUUGAAUUGCAGGGGUGCGCGGGGGUUGUUUAGCCUACUAAUACUACUAAACUAAGACUAACAAAGAACAAAUUCGUUGGUAUUGGUUAUGCACCUUGUAUUUUAUUUUAGCAUGUUGCUACAGAGGGCAGUCCUACAAGAAGAACAUAUUACAGAUAGCAACCAAACCAAAAAUCCUACAAUACUUCACACCCUGAACUCCUACAAAACAAGGACUUCUAGCUCUGCUGUAUGUCAAAAGUGACCCUGACAAAUGCCUGCCCUAUUUACAAAGACCACACCCUGCACUUGUGCAUUUGAUUUUUCUUGGCUUUGAGAAAAAGAGUUCGAGUGCCCUUUCAUAAUUUAUAUCUUCUGGUUGUGGCCCGUUAAUGGAAAUCCUCAAGCAGGCGGCCAGGUGCUCUCCUUGCAGUCUGUUCCGAAGGUCUGUUUUGACCUAAAAUGGCAAACAACUUGUUACUACAAUGAGUCAUGUGAUUGUAGAGCUCACUCUGAAAUAUUUAAUUAAGUGAAAGUGAGAUUGAACUGAGGUGGGAUUUGAGCAUAAAAACAAUGGGUAAAUGUAAAUUGAAAUUCACAUCACUGGUUUGCCUGCAGAUGUCCUUACCCUGUUCAUUGUGGAAAAGUCUCUUUUACAAUUCCCGCUCGACACCGGCACAACAAGGGCAAUCGCUGCUGAGUGGCUGAGUAAUGGGUAUAUCUGCCCCCAUUCAUCGCACUCACUUGCUAUAGGAGUGUUAUACCAAUUUGACAUCCUGACAAAGACAGCAAGCAGUUGAUGUUAGGCCUACCUCAGUCACUACCUCUUCAUCCUGAGGUGAUUUUCGAUCCCUCUUUUUGAAAUAAUUCAAAAUGCUCAUCAUCUGAAUUAACAAAACAAAUUUAGCAUCAGUUUAAUAAGGAUCGGAGAUUUUCUGUUCCAGCUGUAGCGUCUACAAUAAGGCUGACAUCGUCUGACAUUCACCGCGUUGCAUUAAGGCCUGCGUUAGUGGAGAAACACUCUUCAUCAGUACAUUUGAAAACGAUCAAAUUCGAGUCAAGAAGUUAAUUUAAUUAAGUAGGUAACUAACAUUACAUUCCCUUAAUGAUGUGGCUUAAUAGCUUCACCUUUAGAAGGUAGCCUAUUAGAAAAGGCUAAAAAUAAUUUUCCGUCUCACCAGUAAUAAAUCGCGUUAAGGCUACUAGCACUAAUUCUCAAAAGUGGCAUCGAAGUUCGCUCUCUGUUAGAAUAGACUACUUUUCCCUUUUAACAUGUCCAUGCAGACCUAGAUUAGUUCAUCACUGCUGUCACUUCACGUCUCCAUCACUUGGAUAGACUGCGCACAUACAAUCUAGGGCGUAAUUUUGGGUAGGGACGCUAGGGACGUGUCCCUACCAAUAUUCAGCCGCUACUGUGUAAUCACGAUCAAUAAAACCGAUGUCCUAACCUGAGCAAUGAUUAUAUGGCACACAAAGGGUUAAAUGUAUGACACUGCUAAUAAUCCCCCCUCUAACGUAGAUAUCAUUCUGUGAUUAGCUACCUGUUUCUCGCUAACUUACAUGGUUGGCUAUCCCAGCUGUCACUCCAUCUGCUGUAAAAGCAGCACACUUCCCACAGCAGCUGUGACUACCCGCCCAUCAACCCCCCCGUAUCUCACACGUACACACCUGACCUACCCCACGCACCCCCCACUCUCCGUCAGCCUACAAAUUGAGCUGGACUUUGAUGUCCAUGCAUGUUUGCCUUUCGACUCGCAUGCCGACUUGAGUAUCAUGGACGACGGCCCCCCUCCCAAGAAACGAGACAUUCGUUCAUUCUUCUUCAAAGUCAAGAAUGUAAGUCCAGGGUUUCCGUCGAGCUUUAAAAACUCAACAAAAUCCUUUUGAUGUAUGGAAACCCUUCAUAAAAGUAUUGCUGCGGCUCCUUAGGCAGGUUUAGCAACGUGACAGGACGCAUCAGAGCUAGGCUACUGCAUAGCUGCAGAGAAAAGGAAUGCUGGAGCAAUGUAACUUGGUGUUAGAUAAUAUCCUCGAUGAACGAAUGUUAAAUUUAUAGACCUAAUGGUUUUACAGAAUGUAAGUAGCCAGAUGUAGGCUACUGCAUGGCCAUGCAGAUGUGCGACUUGCAUUUCAGAAUCAACAGCGUGACAGCCGCUGAGUCUGCUGCUGAGUCUGCUGCAUUCACCGUUUUACAGAGACCUCUUUCUACAACCCCUGGCAAAAAGUGUGGAGUCACCAGUCUUGAAUGAGCACUCAUUCACACGUUUUAUUCUGUAGAACAAACUCAGAUCACAAACAUGAUACAAUAAUAAAGUCAUUCCAAAGUGCACCUUCUUGGCCUUCAGAAACACUAAAAGAAAUGAAGAAAAAGCAUUGUGGAAGUCAGUAAAUGUUACUUUUAUAGACCAAGCACAGGGAAAAAAAAUAUGGAAUCACUCAAUUCUGAGGAAAAAAAUAUGGAAUCAUGAAAAACAGACAAACAAAAGAACAUUCAAAACACAUCAUUAGUACUUAGUUGCACCACCUCUGGCUUUUAUAACGGCUUGCAGUCUCUUAGGCAUGGACUUGAUGAGUGACAAACAGUAUUCUUCAUCAAUCUGGUGCCAACUCUCUUUGAUUGCAGUUGCCAGAUCAGCUUUGCAGGCCGGAGCCUUGUCGUGGACCAUUUUUUUCAAUUUCCACCACAAGUUUUCUAUUGGGUUGAGAUCUGGACUAUUUGCAGGCCAUGACAUUGACUGGAUGUGUCUUUCACCAAGGAAUGCUUUCACAGUUUUUGCUCUAUGGCACAAUGCGUUGUCAUCUUGGAAAAUUAUUUCAUCAUCCCCAAACAUCUUUUCAACUGAAGGGAUAAGAAAACUGUCCAAAAUGUCAAUGUAAGCCUGUGCAUUUAUUGAAGAAGUAACCACAGCCAUCUCCCCAGUGCCUUUGCCUGACAUGCAGCCCCAUAUCAUCGGGAUUGUGGAAAUUUGGAUGUUUUCUUCAGGCAGUCCUCUUCAUAAAUCUCACUGGAACGGCACCAAACAAAAGUUCCAGCAUCAUCACCUUGUCCAAUGCAGAUUCGUGAUUCAUCACUGAAUAACUUUCAUCCAGUCAUCCACAGUCCAUGAUUGCUUCUCCUUAGCCCAUUGUAGUCUUGUUCUUUUCUGUUUAGGUGUCAAUGAUGGUUUUCUUUUAGCUUUCCUAUGUGAAAAUCCCAUUUCCUUUAGGCGAUUUCUCACGGUUCGGUCACAUACUUGUACAUUGACUCCAGCUUCCUCCCAUUUAUGCUUCAUUUGUUUUGUUGUACUUUUUCGGUUUUCAAGACAUAUGGCCUUAAGUUUUUUGUCUUGACGCUUUGAUGUCUUCCUUGGUCUACCAGUACGCUUGGCUUUAAAAACCUUCCCAUGCUGUUUGUACUUGGUCCAUAUCUUAGCCCACAUAUUCAACCCAGUUCGUGUCUGAUCCGGUGCUGUGUAAACAUUGAGGAUACAAGGAAACGCAGUGCUGAGCUCUAGCUGACAUCGUCAUUGGACAACGUCACUGUGACAUCCACCUUCCUGAUUCGCUGGCGUUGGGAUCACACACACAGCGGCUCAGUCCCGAAUCACUGCUCGUGCGCUUCACUUGCGCGCUCUGUGAGCUGCGCAGGGCCGGAGUGCACACCCUCCAGAGGGCACUCGCUGUUCAGGGUGGAAUGAUUUGGAGCGCAGGAGGAAGCGCUGAGCCGCACUGACAUAUUUAUUUACACAUUUCAACCUCCUUCAGGCGCUUAAACUCAGUGAGAACAUGAACAUCACAGCCAGGUGUGUUUAUCUGCUGGAGAAGGUGUUCGCUUGCCAUCCUUCCACUUGCAAGUGGUGAGUGACUUGCGCAUGCCCGAUAUGCACUGGGAUCAUGUGACGUGCCGUCUAAUUAGUCAUGUGAUUAGCGUAUCCGUGUAUUGGCAUUGCUGUGUGCACGCGAAUCGUGUAUAGAGAUCUUGCAGUCACGUGACCGGAAAGUACACAGCCGCCAUCUUGUCGGUAAAAAACACAGCUGAAUACUGCUGCACUCGUGUACAGAAUGGAUCAAUUUCAACCGACGGACUACACGGCUCAUUUUUCUAAUGAACAGAUAACUAGAUAUGUGUCUAAAAUAAACGAUCUACAGAUUAAUGACCCUUAUGGCUUACCGGACAGAGUUUUCACGACCGGAUUUUGAACUGCCAGAGGUGGAAUACCCAGACGUGUAUAAUUACCUCAUUAACUUUCCCUCGCUGUUCAGUGGUGAAGCACUGCGUGCUUAUAAAUCUCUGCACAGUUAUCUUUACAGAAAUUCAGGAUUUGUCAGCGACUCAGAUGUGGCAUCUUGUAAAGGGCAAUUCCAUGUAAAUGUCAACCUCACCAUGCAAAAAUAAAGCAACAUGUAAUACAUCAAAACCACUCCCAGAGAUCUCACCUAGGCCUGUAUUUUACAGAUGUGAAUAAGUUGAACCAAUUUGUAACCAACCUAAUAUGUCACUGUCAGUCUUUCUUUCUUAUAAUGUAAAACCCAAGCUAAAAUCAACUUUGAUCAUGUACAAUUCUAUAUUAUUGCCACAAGCCACAGAAAUGUAUGCUAAAAUCCACAAAACAGCAAAACAAUAGCCAUCCUAAAUAUUAUUUAAGAACUUUGAUAGUUUUAGCUGAUAUUUAGAGAGUUUUUCAAAGGGUUAUGGUGGUUAAAUUGCUGAUUUUCUAAACAUAUGCCAUGUCUAUUUCAGACGCGUCACAUCCAUAACGGAAUUAUGUCACAUCCAUAACGCUGAUUUUUUCUUCCUAGAUUCUGCUUGAAAUAGAAAAUAUUUUAAACAAAGGCUUUUUUUAUUUUCAGCUAAGACUCCUUUAUUAAAUGCAUGCCUGCAUUUGGAUAUUAUGUUUGCAAUUUCACAGAGUUUGAUGAAUAUGUGUAGUCACCCUGGAAAUGGGGUAUUUUUUCUGUCACAUCCAUAACGCAUGUCUUUUUUGGCAUUUUCUAGAGUUCUAAAUGUACUACGGGAAUUCGUUUUUUCCCAUGACUUCUCCAAUAUGAGAGGUCUUAAAAAUAUACAACAAAUUUUAAAAUACUGGAAAGGAAUAAAAAUUAACUAGGUCAGUUGUUGCCAUUUUGAGUCCAAAUGUCACAUCCAUAACGCUGGAAUUGCUCCAAACAAGAAUCCUCAUUGGAUGGGUAAGUCACUUAAGUAUUGAGUAUAGCACUGACCAGCCGAUUAUAGAAUAGAAUAAGGUAAUUCCAGCUGUAAUUCCAAAUCGUCCGUCUUGUUUACCAUGGAUCUGGCGUUGGAGAGAUAGAGGCUUAGCAGUGGAGAUUUGAGUGGCUGUUUUCUGAGCUUAGUCAACAGGCCGGCUCUGCAGCCUCGCUUUUGCUUCCGCUCCCGGCGCCGCCUCCUUCGCUUUGCUUCCGAUAACAAUCCACGGAGACCCCGCUGGUCUCGCUAUCUCGUCCGGAAUGUUGUGCAUGCGAUGGAAAUCGCUACAAACCGUCAUUUUCUGCUGGAAACCAAUGUCCAGUAAGUCCAUACAGUUGUAGUGGAUAUUGAAGUCCGGUACAGAUGAACAACAUGCAAAAAUACACACAAAAAACAUAAAAAACGUGCACAGGUAGGGAGAGCUUGUAGCCGCAGCCGUUGUAGUAGAAUUGUACAUAGUAGGGUUUUCCAGAAGAAAUGGUAGAAGUAGAAGGCGGAAAUAUGGCGUUUGACCAACAAGAUGGCGUCUGUCACAAUCUGGAUCGGCUGUGACGUCACAUGCAAGUGCUCCAUUGGCAUUGCUGUGUGUACGCGAAUCGUUUUAAAAACGUUAAUCUGAUGAUCCGCUGAUACGGUCUAAUGUAAACGCCACCUGAGAUACAGCUGACUGUGAACAGCCCACAUCUUUGGCAACCAUGCUUGAAGAGUUACCUUCUUUUAAGAAGUUUGACGAUCCUCUCUUUUGUUUCAAGAGACAUCUCUCUUGUUGGAGCCAUGAUUCUUGCCAAUCCACUUGGUCCAGCAGCCCUCCAAGGUGUGAUAACUGUGCUGUUUCUAACUGCAGACUAACGAGCAGAUCUAAUCUGAGGCAGGUGUCAAUUUAGGGAAAGGAAAUUGACUGGUGUUUCUGAAGGCCAAGAAGUUGCACUUUGGAAUGACUUUAUUAUUACAUCAUGUUUGUGAUCUCAGUUUGUUCUACAGAAUAAAA